RNAcentral lists this ribosomal RNA (483 nucleotides) under uncultured marine bacterium. Its description in RNAcentral is "bacterial SSU rRNA". It matches the Rfam family "Bacterial small subunit ribosomal RNA", at positions 355 to 856 of the family's 1533-position model. The record is from RNAcentral.
UGGGGAAUCUUGGACAAUGGGCGCAAGCCUGAUCCAGCCAUGCCGCGUGAGUGAUGAAGGCCCUAGGGUCGUAAAGCUCUUUCGCCAGGGAUGAUAAUGACAGUACCUGGUAAAGAAACCCCGGCUAACUCCGUGCCAGCAGCCGCGGUAAUACGGAGGGGGUUAGCGUUGUUCGGAAUUACUGGGCGUAAAGCGCGCGUAGGCGGAUUGGAAAGUUGGGGGUGAAAUCCCGGGGCUCAACCCCGGAACUGCCUCCAAAACUCCCAGUCUUGAGUUCGAGAGAGGUGAGUGGAACUCCGAGUGUAGAGGUGAAAUUCGUAGAUUUUCGGAAGAACACCAGUGGCGAAGGCGGCUCACUGGCUCGAUACUGACGGUGAGGUGCGAAAGUGUGGGGAGCAAACAGGAUUAGAUACCCUGGUAGUCCACACCGUAAACGAUGAAUGCCAGUCGUCGGGUAGCAUGCUAUUCGGUGACACACCUAAC